UGUCUUACGUGAUGGGCUUUGGUAAUACGUCGUCGUGCCUGGCCCGAAAAUACGUGAGACGCCCCUAACCCUAGCUGCUCGAUUGGAAUUUGAAUAGUCUCUUCUUCUCUGCGGCGCCUGACCUUUGCGAUCCCUUCCAGUGGAGAGAAUUAGGGUUUAGUCGUUGUCUCUAUCUCUGCGAUGAAUGAGCUCGGGCAACAAUGGAGAUCAAGCAGCCGUCGUUUCGUAUUUGGUACUUAACCCCCUAUCUUUUUACAUUCAUUACCGUAGGACCGUCUCUACACUGGUUCACCGGUGCAGCCAGAACUUCGUGCUUUCAGACUCAUUUCUCAGAAUCUGGUUCAGUGAUUCAACCAGUCUAGAUGUGCUAAUCUCUCAUUCCUGAAGAACGUGUCCAGGUUCGGUGAUUAUGAAUCGCUUCUUGGCCUAAACAAUACCAAGCACGCAUCUACCAGCCUCUCAGGCGUUAUUGGUGAGCUCACUGCUGUGAGAAGUACAGUGAGUGACAUUCCUCAAGGACAAGAGCGUAUCAAGAUCGACAGUAACUCUCUUCUAUAGUUGAAUUUAUUCAAUACUUUCAGAAUUAUCUUACUUUAAUAUAUCAUUGAAUUUUUGAUGUUCUGUUUUCCUUUUCACACUCAUAUCUCUGUUACUUUGGGUACGUGUGAGGAGCGCCUAAUAUUCUUCAAACACACAUGGAAUAUUUUCAUGCAGGACAUUGUUCUUGGAUGUCACCUCAGGAACACAUGCUGGUUUCCAAAGACCUGGGAACACCCAUGUUCAUAUUUUCUUAGAGGCUAUGCAAAGGUUGAACCUCUUACUUCAGCUGAGAUCAAUGAUUUCGUCAUCAUUUCGAAGCCUCAGAUAGGCUGGUGUUAUGUCUCUUGCUUUAGAUGGACAAAGAACUUCCAACGAACGGUCUCAUCCUUUACUUGCGUGACCUGCAAUAACUUGGUUUGCUCAGGUACCGUGUGGAGGGUGUCUUUGUUGGAUUCGAUGGUGAGAUGACAAAACUACAUACCUGUGAGGCUGGUAAUUUAAGUGUAGGAACAUCUCCAAGUGGUGUCGCCAUCAAGAAACCUCAGGCAUCAAAUUCUUUAAAGGUGGUGAAGAUGCCACGUAAGGAAUAGGUGAAGCUGAGAUUGUGAUGCGGAUGGAGUACUUAUAUUUCAAAAAUGAGUAUGUAUUGGUUUUUAUUUUAGAAUAUGUUCUCUAAUGUAGUUUUUGGUAUGGUUUAUUAAAAAUCUAAAACAAUAUAAAAAAGGCCUUUGGAGUUUUUCAUCA
Molecule: RNA transcript, 1284 nt
Organism: Raphanus sativus (radish)
Lineage: Eukaryota; Viridiplantae; Streptophyta; Magnoliopsida; Brassicales; Brassicaceae
Exons: 5
Source: RefSeq, a predicted model, not a curated record